UACGGAGGGGGCUAGCGUUAUUCGGAAUUACUGGGCGUAAAAGCGCACGUAGGCGGCUUUGUAAGUCAGAGGUGAAAGCCUGGAGCUCAACUCCAGAACUGCCUUUGAGACUGCAUCGCUUGAAUCCAGGAGAGGUGAGUGGAAUUCCGAGUGUAGAGGUGAAAUUCGUAGAUAUUCGGAAGAACACCAGUGGCGAAGGCGACUUCAGUGCCAUAGUAGUACGCUGAGGUGUGAAAAGCGUGGGGAGCAAACAGG
Molecule: ribosomal RNA, 255 nt
Filed under: uncultured bacterium
Lineage: Bacteria
Description: partial 16S ribosomal RNA
Rfam family: Bacterial small subunit ribosomal RNA
Source: RNAcentral